This 1636-nucleotide long non-coding RNA is filed under the name Daucus carota (carrot). Its description in RNAcentral is "long non-coding RNA (DCAR_LNC005376)". Lineage: Eukaryota; Viridiplantae; Streptophyta; Magnoliopsida; Apiales; Apiaceae. The record is from RNAcentral.
UUCUCUUUAAAAUACCCAUCAAGAAUUUUAGCUAUAACUAAGAGCUUGCAAGUAAGAUAUAUAAAUUUAAUUCAUAAAAACUCCACACCCCUGUUAACAAGUAAUGACCAGGUCACACAUCUGGAAUUAUAUACAAAAAUAAUUUAUUGAGAGGAAGUGGUAGUGACAUUAUGACUUUGUAGAUGAGAAACCAACUACAGCAAGAUUAAAAUCCCAUUACAUUUUCUUGAUGCCAUAUACACAUAGCAGGAAAAGGAAAGCCGGUAAAACAGAGUCUUGUUACACAAAAGAAUGGUAAGAACUUAAAGACUCAUACUACAUUCUUAGUGCAUAUUUGAAGACAAAAUAGGUAGUUUUAUAGUAAGCAGUAAAAGGUGCAUGGGAAAGGACAAACAGGAGGCAUUACGUAUCACAUAUUACAUUUCCGAUUCUGCAUCGACACCAAUCAUUCUUCAUGUUCACAAAUUUAAUUCCUUAUAUUACACUACUUGAACCCUAAUUAUCCUAAUUCAGUAGCACAACAAAUCCGAAAAUUUAACAUACACAAACACACAGUAAAAGCAGCACAACAGAUGACGGUAAAUAACAGUACAAUCCUUUCAAAACAAAUAACUUAAAUCAAAUUCUGGCGCAAAAAUGUAACUAAUAUUCUUUAACAUCAACUUAAUUAUCUCAAAUAUUCCAUAUAAAUUGAUUAUUGCAUACUUGUAUAUCCUACAAUAGAUUUCAACAAUGUACAAAUUCUAUCGGAACUAAGAUCAAACAGUGCGAGUGCUCGAGAAAGGCCUCGUAGUUUAAAAAGUUAUGGAAUCAAGAACAAAACAUAAUUAGAUAAAGAAAUCACCUGAUUGUGCGUCUCAAUCAUCACCACAUCACAUAAGCCCUCGCCCAAAGACAGAAGGUCUGUUGAUGCACCGAGCGCACCUCCGAUCAAAUACAAUAAAAUUGGCGUGGAUUCAGACAGAAGUGAAAACCAGACUGAAGAAACGGGAGAAGGAAAGAUAGUAGUGGCUGGUUCGGUCCAGACAAUAGAGGAUCGGAGAGGUAUUACUGUCAAUUCAAUUGGAACUGAAAUCAUGAAAAGAGAAGUUUACAGGUUUGGAGGGGGUGUUUAUGUCUUUUUAAUAAGAAUUAAUUUGCUCAGGAGAAAGAGCUGUUCUGGUAUAAUAGAUAUCACAUUUCUCUUUAAAAUACCCAUCAAGAAUUUUAGCUAUAACUAAGAGCUUGCAAGUAAGAUAUAUAAAUUUAAUUCAUAAAAACUCCACACCCCUGUUAACAAGUAAUGACCAGGUCACACAUCUGGAAUUAUAUACAAAAAUAAUUUAUUGAGAGGAAGUGGUAGUGACAUUAUGACUUUGUAGAUGAGAAACCAACUACAGCAAGAUUAAAAUCCCAUUACAUUUUCUUGAUGCCAUAUACACAUAGCAGGAAAAGGAAAGCCGGUAAAACAGAGUCUUGUUACACAAAAGAAUGGUAAGAACUUAAAGACUCAUACUACAUUCUUAGUGCAUAUUUGAAGACAAAAUAGGUAGUUUUAUAGUAAGCAGCAAAAGGUGCAUGGGAAAGGACAAACAGGAGGCAUUACGUAUCACAUAUUACAUUUCCGAUUCUGCAUCGACACCAAUCAUUCUUCAUG